Molecule: ribosomal RNA, 463 nt
Filed under: uncultured bacterium
Lineage: Bacteria
Description: partial 16S ribosomal RNA
Rfam family: Bacterial small subunit ribosomal RNA
Source: RNAcentral
GAUGAACGCUGACAGAAUGCUUAACACAUGCAAGUCGAUGGGGAAGUGGUGCUUGCACCCUGGUAACCAUGGCGGACGGGUGAGUAACACGUAAGGAACUUACCUGCGGGACCGGGAUAACAGCAGGAAACUGCUGACAAGACCGGAUAAGGUCAUUAAGCUGCAUAGCUUAGUGAUGAAAGGAGACGCCUGCGGAGAGCCUUGCGUCCUAUUAGCUAGUUGGAGGGGUAACGGCCCACCAAGGCGAAGAUAGGUAGCCGGCCUGAGAGGGUGGACGGCCACAAGGGGACUGAGAUACGGCCCUGACUCCUACGGGAGGCAGCAGUGGGGAAUAUUGGACAAUGGGGGCAACCCUGAUCCAGCAAUUCUGUGUGCACGAAGACGGUUUUCGGAUUGUAAAGUGCUUUCAGCAGGGAAGAAGGAAGUGACGGUACCUGCAGAAGAAGCGACGGCUAAAUACGUG